GCAGCCCCAGCCAGUCGCCUGCAAAGGUGUGCGAGGCUUCGGCCAAUGGGGAGAGGCUUCCACGCGUGAUCAGCGCCUGCCCGGAAGCGUGGAGCGGGAGCCAUGGCGGCGUGUUCCCAGGGCAGCCCUUGGACCUCACAUCGUAAAUUGACCACUCUACUGGAUGCUCCUUUGGACUGAUGUCUUGGCUUACUUGCUGUACCCUUCUGGCUUGGACUACUUGACCCUGAGAACUGUAACUGGCUGGAAAGCAUCUGUACAUGUCUAGAGACUGGCUGGUUUGCCCAAUGCAAAGUGCUGAAAAGCAUUGUUGACAGAGGAUGAGCAAGUGGGAGUACCUCUAAAAUUGUGAGUAACGUGAUUAGGUCUGUGAUGAAAUUUCCCAAGGUAGAUGUAUGGGGAGAGUUAGCAAGAUCUUGUGCCCAUCUUACCAUCUCUUUUUGAGGGUCCUCCUGUAGGUAAGUAAUCAUUUGAGGUUGGGAGGCUGUCUGUAGUAAAGAUCUGCCAUGAAAAAUCCUUGCAAGAGCAAGAUUAUUUUCCAGAAUAGCUUGUAGUUCAUUGAUGAGACAUCUAAAUGGUCUCAACUUGGAGCUGUAUGUGACCACUCAUGGGGUUAUGUCAUUUACUUUCUUUAGUCCUGGGUACAAAUCUUUGCCAUUUUUUAAAAACUGUACCCAUAGCCUGAAGAAUGCUUGUUACAAUUCCAUGGGUUUGGCAUCUUAUGUAUCUGAGCAGAUGCAAUUGUACCAAAGGGCUUGGCUGUAAACUAUGUAUUUGAUGGUGUAUUUAGGAUGAAACUGGAAGCAUGUAAGUAUGUGUAGUGGUCAGUGAGUCUGUGAUAUAAUGUGGUGUUUAGAUGUCUAUUGUGUAAUUAUACAGUGCUGUCCAGAAAGUGAACCUGUUCUGUUGCUAAUUCCAGGCUGAGAUUGAUGGUAGGGUGGAGGUGGUUGAACUUUUCUGGAAUGUCAUCAGUGAGUCCUCGGCAUCCGAGUCUGUUUAUUACAAAAGUGGAAUACAAGCAUGGCAAGAGACUGGAAAAAGCUUGGAAUGGGAAGAUGAAUGGGAGAGCUCAGCCAUAUUAACAUUGGUUAUGUAAGCCCUCUGUUGUUUAUAUUACAACAGAUUAUCCUUUCCCCCCCAAGAUGCCAUCAAAUAAAUGAGAAGUCUGCAAUCGUAUAACUAUUCCUAAUACUUUUUCCUCUUGAACUCAGCUGGAUUUACUUCUGAGUAGACAGUUAUAGACUUGCACAGUUAAUACUGAGGCUUGAAAAACUACUCACCUACCACUUGCUUUCUUCCUUUCAGCAGCUUAUUGGGGUUUUUUUAAGGGUAUUAGAAAUGUUUGGUAAUUUACUGCAUGUCACCUAGCAAAAGAUCUUGAUCUAUCUGCUGUCAAACUCUGGUUUAGAAGUCUUCUAUACCACUAUCACGCUUUGGUUCUAAAAUUCUUGUACCUUUUGUGUUGUCCUGCCUGCUGCAUACAAUUUGUUGUUUCAUUCGUAUUUUUCUUUCUUUUCACAGCAUACAGUGGAAUUAUAUGUGAAUUUGAUUGAGAAGGGAUUAAGCACCUUUCCUAUCCCACUGUUUUAAACAAAUUAGCAAUGUGUGAUCCACAUAAGUAAAAAUGACCUUAUAUCAGUUCUAGAUCUCCUAGCUUAACCAAUAUAGUAUGGUAUAAAGUUUAAUGCAGUAUUUCUCAGGCUAUGACGCUGGAGAAGAGUCAUGAUUUUCUGAUGUGCCAGGGAAUGGUAACACAUUUCUGCCUGUUGGCAAGAACUGUUUCUUUCUCUGUGGAAACUCUGUGGACAGGCAGUGGAUGCCUCCCAGAAUUACAUGUCUAAGGACCACCACUUUGAGUAGCACUGGUUUAAUGGACUGCACUUUUUGAGUUGAAUUAGACUGGUAAAAUGUGCCCCCUAGUGGAUAUUUCUUGGCAGUAAUUUUAAUAAUAUGUCAAGUCAUGAAAUAGGAAUGAAUAGGAAAUUGAAAUAAAGAUUUCCCCUAUCUUGAAUCAAACAUUGAUCAGAAUGGUAAUUGCAGUCAGGGCAACUAUGCAAGAACUAGAUAAAAUCCUAACGUGUAAAGAUGUACAGCUGAACACUAAAGUUAGAAUUGUCCAAGCCAUUGUAUCCCGUUACUACGGAUAGCGAUGAGAGCUGGCUAGUGAAGAAAGCAAGAUAGGAAGAAAAUAAAUCCAUUUGAGAUGUGGUGCUGGAGAAAAGUGCUUAGGAUACCAUGGACAGCUAAAAAGACAGACAAAUGGGUCCUAGAAAAGAUCAAGCCUGAAACCUCCCUG
This is a long non-coding RNA of Sceloporus undulatus (fence lizard), 2296 nucleotides long. RefSeq lists it as uncharacterized. The record is from RefSeq and is a predicted model, not a curated record. The transcript is spliced from 3 exons. NCBI's taxonomy places the organism in Eukaryota, Metazoa, Chordata, Lepidosauria, Squamata, Phrynosomatidae.